AUCUAUGGCCAUGUCUCCCUGAACAAGCCUGAUCCUGUCUGAUCUUGGAAGCUAAGCAGGGUCGGGCCUAGUUAGUAUUUGGAUGGGAGAUCACCUAGGAAGACAAGGUGCUGUAGGCG
This 119-nucleotide ribosomal RNA is filed under the name Pteropus alecto (black flying fox). The record is from RNAcentral. Lineage: Eukaryota; Metazoa; Chordata; Mammalia; Chiroptera; Pteropodidae.